RNAcentral lists this ribosomal RNA (330 nucleotides) under uncultured bacterium. RNAcentral describes it as "bacterial SSU rRNA". It matches the Rfam family "Bacterial small subunit ribosomal RNA", at positions 92 to 411 of the family's 1533-position model. The record is from RNAcentral.
ACAGCGGCGGACGGGUGAGUAAUACAUGGAUAAUCUGCCUUUAGGUCUGGGACAACCCAGGGCAAACUUGGGCUAAUACCGGAUAAGACCACAGAAUCUGCGGGUUCAGUGGUAAAAGGUGGCUCUCGGGCUAUUACCUAAAGAUGAGUCCAUGUCCCAUCAGGUUGUUGGUGAGGUAAAGGCUCACCAAGCCUAAGACGGGUAGCCGACCUUAGCGGGUGAUCGGCCACACGGGGACUGAGACACGGCCCCGACUCCUACGGGAGGCAGCGGUGGGGAAUAUUGGACAAUGGGCGCAAGCCUGAUCCAGCAGUACCGCGUGAGGGAUGA